Molecule: ribosomal RNA, 254 nt
Filed under: uncultured bacterium
Lineage: Bacteria
Description: partial 16S ribosomal RNA
Rfam family: Bacterial small subunit ribosomal RNA
Source: RNAcentral
UACGAAGGGGGCUAGCGUUGUUCGGAUUUACUGGGCGUAAAGGGCGCGUAGGCGGCCAGCACAAGUCAGUUGUGAAAUCUCCGAGCUUAACUCGGAAAGGUCAACUGAUACUGUGCGGCUAGAGUGCGGAAGGGGCAACUGGAAUUCCUGGUGUAGCGGUGAAAUGCGCAGAUAUCAGGAGGAACACCGAUGGCGAAGGCAGGUCUCUGGGCCACUACUGACGCUGAGAAGCGAAAGCAUGGGGAGCGAACAGG